Molecule: unclassified non-coding RNA, 1359 nt
Filed under: Lytechinus variegatus (green sea urchin)
Lineage: Eukaryota; Metazoa; Echinodermata; Echinoidea; Temnopleuroida; Toxopneustidae
Description: protein max-like, transcript variant X1
Source: RNAcentral
UUGAACACACGUGGGUAAGUCGCGUGGCGUUGUUUACACCGCCAUAUUGCACAGGAAUACGGAAUAAUCGGAAGACUUUUCGGUGGAGAUCGAACAUUAUUAUUCACAAUGAGCGAUGAUGACAGGGACAUCGACGUUGAGAGUGACGACGAAUUAAACGAUGGUGAACCGGACAAUCGCACACAGGCGGAGAAAAGGGCACAUCACAAUGCCUUAGAGCGGAAGAGAAGAGACCACAUCAAAGAUAGUUUCAGUAUGCUAAGAGAUUCAGUACCUAACCUACAGGGUGAAAAGGCAUCCAGAGCGCAGAUUCUUAACAAAGCAACAGAUUACAUUGAAUUCAUGAGGAGGAAAAAUAACUCGCAUCAAACCGAUAUCGAUGAUUUGAAAAAGCAAAACCAAACGUUAGAACAACAAAUUCGUCUCCUGGAGAGGUCAUCGACAGGGGAAGUAGCUAAAACCAAUGGCAUCAUUCUUAACCAAAAAUUAUCUCACUACGAUGCCGGUUCCGACUCCGACACCGACAAUCAUCCCAAAUCAGGUCACAAGUCCCGCAAACGCUUAAAAACUGACAGCUCAGGGAGUUCGAAAUCUAGCAAAAAGAAGCACGAAUCAAGGUGAUCGUGUUUAGUCCUCGAUUUUUAUUCACAUAAAUUUAUACACUUGUGCUUUUUUUAAAGAUUUUUUUUUUUAAGGAGCAAUCAUUUUAUUGUAUUGUUCAUAUUCCUAGAACCUUGUGGAUUUCCCAUGUGUUGUCUGCAUUUUGUGAAUGACAAUGAUAUUAAAGUAGGAAUGUGGAGAGGUGUUGAGUAACUUUUCAAAAGCUGAACUUGAUGGGCCGGUAUACAAGUAGUGUCUGUACAAGAUGUGGAAAUGAAGCCCUAAUAUUGAAUCCAACAAGAAAUUACUUAACAUGUAGUCCCUUUGAUUAAGUCAGAACUCACAAGGUCUGUAUUUCAAACUUUGGUUUAAUCGAACAAUGAGACAGAGGUUUAACUUGAACUAUGGAAAGCCACAUAUGAAAUGACUCUAAGGGUAUAUACUUGCAUUAUUAGUAUAUUUUGUUCUCAGACUGAUAAAAUCCUCUGGAAAUAUGUGUAAGAGAUACAAUACAAAAGUAUAUUCUUCCACAAAUGAUGAGUCCAGGGUCUGGUAACACAAAAGGUUAGUGAUUGAUCAUACGCUUGAUUUUUACGCUUGAUUGUACAUUGUAGUCAAUGGAAUCAAUCGUAGAAAAAUGUUCUAGGAUCAUUACUAAGCUUUGUGUCACAGGCCCCAGCCUGGUGGGUGUUUUAUAAAGCUGUAAUGAGCAACUUUAUAAAUGACUGGUGAAUGUUUCUUCUCAGCUAUUAAAAUCAA